Molecule: ribosomal RNA, 640 nt
Filed under: uncultured bacterium
Lineage: Bacteria
Description: bacterial SSU rRNA
Rfam family: Bacterial small subunit ribosomal RNA
Source: RNAcentral
CCCUUAGAGUUUGAUCCUGGCUCAGGACGAACGCUGGCGGCGUGCUUAACACAUGCAAGUCGAACGAGGUCCAGUGAUCCUUCGGGUGAGCGAAGACCGAGUGGCGAACGGGUGCGUAACACGUGAGAAACCUGCCCCAGACUUGGGAAUAACAGUCGGAAACGACUGCUAAUACCGAAUACCUUCGUAACGUCGCAUGGCGAAUCGAAGAAAGCUCUUGCGGUUUGGGAGGGUCUCGCGGCCUAUCAGCUAGUUGGUGAGGUAACGGCUCACCAAGGCAUCGACGGGUAGCUGGUCUGAGAGGAUGACCAGCCACACUGGGACUGAGACACGGCCCAGACUCCUACGGGAGGCAGCAGUGGGGAAUCUUGCACAAUGGGCGAAAGCCUGAUGCAGCAACGCCGCGUGCGGGAAGAAGGCCUUAGGGUUGUAAACCGCUUUCAGCAGGGAAGAAAAUGACGGUACCUGCAGAAGAAGGUGCGGCCAACUACGUGCCAGCAGCCGCGGUGACACGUAGGCACCAAGCGUUGUCCGGAUUUAUUGGGCGUAAAGAGCUCGUAGGCGGUUCAGUAAGUCGGGUGUGAAAACUCUGGGCUCAACCCAGAGACGCCACCCGAUACUGCUGUGACUUGAGUACGGU